Molecule: long non-coding RNA, 2865 nt
Organism: Anas platyrhynchos (mallard)
Lineage: Eukaryota; Metazoa; Chordata; Aves; Anseriformes; Anatidae
Source: RefSeq, a predicted model, not a curated record
UGAUUUUGCAGCCCACUUUUUAAGCCGAUUUGGGGCCAGCCAUCAGGAAGCUCCAGGAGAUGUAUUUUGUAGAUCCAGACCUAGUUUCUAGGCUCUGGAUUAUUCUUCUGACAAGCUGUGUAUCCAGCUAGCACUCAGAGCAGCAUGAAGACUCUCCUAAGUAGCAGAAUAAAGAAAGGUGUGCAGAAAGAGGGGAAUUUAGACCACAGUGAUCACUACACUGCUGUGCCUUGUAGACACAAUACUUAAAGAUGAAAAAUUUCAGAUGGGGCUUCAACUCCUUUGAGUCAAUACAGGUUUGAAGGACUAGUUAGGGACAACCCCACUUGCCCUCCCCGUCCUGAAAAAAAAGAAAAGGACUGAAAAGAUACUAUGUUGUAUAGUAUACCCACUUAUACCCACUUAUACCCAUUUAUUAAAAUAAUUGCAGUGAACAUUACCAAUAGCAUUAAUCUAAGUUCAUAUGAAGAUCUAAGCUUCACUUGGCAUUAUUUUUUAACUUUUUCAUGGUCACCAGAAGAGAAACAUAAGCUAAUUUGGAAGAGGAAAUAUGUGCUCGAAAGCAUAACUGGGCAUGAUGUGUUCUUGUUAAGAUGCAUCUUCUUUUCACAUAAAAAUAUUGCAACCAGUCCACAAGCAAUAUCAACAAGUUUCAUGCCAUUAACAACCGAAGUCAGUCAUGACUAUGUAUUGACUAUUUUUAGGACGUUUAAUGAAAUAUAAGAAAUUACAACUAUAUUUUUGUGCACAAGUAUAAGCUGAUAAGGUUUUAACAGGUUUGGGGGACUUCAAGAGGGAAAAUGAGGGGGAUUAAGGGGUAAAUUUUGUGAUAUCUUCAAAGUAUAAGGAGUUCAGUGAAGAAUAGGACAAAGCAGUAUAAUCUGUGCGGUGUCAAGAGUUGGACUUGAUGAUCCUUAAGGGUCCCUUCCAACUCAGGAUAUUCUAUGAUUCUAUGAUUCUAUGAAUCGUACAUGGGAGGAUGUAAAGGGUUAAGCUAUAAAUAGUAACAUCAUUAGUCCUGUGUUUAUUAUGAACUCAACCUAGUUUCCUGCUAACAAACUAUUUUCUCUUCUCAGUAUAAACAGGCUACUACUAAAAAAAAAAUCCCCAACGCCACAGACGUAAACAUUAACUUAACCUGCAUUAAUGUUUAUCAGAGUUCCACAUGUAAAAUAAUCCUAUUAAAGCAGCUGAGGAAAUAGAUUAGUAGACAUGCAUGCAACAUUAAAUAAUUCUGUAAAUUUUCUUGUCUCAUGUCUCACAAAAUGAAUUCCUAAAUGAUGGAGUCUAAACAUUUCCAUAGUCCAACAGACAGGAUUCUUCUUAGUGUCAGUAAAUUCCAUUUUAGAAGGUUUUAUUUAUUUAUUGGUAAUUUAGAUUAUAAAGGUUACUUAGGAAUUAAGGUUGUUGUAAGAGCAAAGCUGAAACUGUUCUACCUGAAGAAAGAAAAUACAGCAACACAGAAGUAUAUACUUUACAUUGGUAGAUGUCACUUGUUAAAACUUAUUAGUGCUUUAUGAAAACUGGCUGCCUUUUCCUGCAGGCGAACUAGAUAAUAAAAUUUAUCUGAGUGAAUGUGGAUAGCUCUACCUGAACUAGUCACUUUAAGCUUUCUUUAUAAUCAGUGAAGAUAAACAGGCUUUCCGAGUGUGUGAAAGUUGCCAUCUUGUAAGAGGUCUAAAAGAAAUUAGCUAACUCAUCUGAAAACCUCUUUUUCUCUCUUUUGUCUAUAAGGUUCUUUGGUGGAUAGCUAUGAUGUAGAAGUAGACACUGUAGACAUACAAACUGAAGAGUUGAUUACAGCCUGGGAAUGGAAUCCUUAAUUUAGAAAAAAUCAUGACAAAUAUUUUGAUAACUUCAAUAUCAACAGAAUGUAAAAGUGUGCUCUGAAAGGGACAUAUACACUAUAUGGAAGGUAGCUAAGAUUAACAAUUGUUUUUAUAUUUCUAAUUUUCCACCCACACAAUGGAUGUAACAACCAAACUUCGAUUAUGUGUUCAUUGGUAGGGAGACAAUCUUUCUAUUACAUUAAAGCCCAUAUAACAGAUAUAUGGAGUUUUUGUUUUUCAAAUAAUUGUGAAAAAAGAGAAACCUCUUCCAACAUUAUUUAUUCAAAGAAUGCCAGUGGGCAUUUUCAAAGAGAUGAGUCAAAGCUAAAAUGUGAUAGCUAUCUAUAGUAGUUACCAACAUUUGCUACAUAUGUUGAUGACAAAAGAAGAUUUAUCACCAUAAUUAGGAAGGGAGAAGAAAGUCCACUUGCUGUAAGAUAGACGAAGAAAAGAUAAUAACUGAAUAACUGUGGUGACCACAUUUUGUCAAGUAAAUAGUGUUUUCAGACAAUUAAAUAUGUAUUUAUUUUUUAUAGUUUUGUAUUUUCAGAAUUUGUUCUCUCUUCCAGAAUUGUUUGUGCAAUUAUGUUGUCAGUUAUCAGUUUGAUCACGUAUUUGUCAUUUUCCACAGUAAUGUUUAAACCUAGCACUUAGUUUCAACUAAUUCCAUUCACCUCAUUUGUAUUUAAAAUUUUAAUGCAAACCAACCAAACAAUCAAACAAAAAGACCAACACAACAACUUUUUUGGUCUUAAAUAACUUUCAGUUAGAUAUUGAAAGUGGAAAAAAUUUGUGCCCUUUACAAGAAAGCUAGUAAAAGACUGAAACUUGAGGUAAAUUUGCUGAAAUUUUGUGGCAAUAUUUGGGAAAUGACAGAUCACAUAUACCUGUUCAAAGUUACCAAACUUUUUAGUAGACUAAUGAAAAGAGGUGUUCCUACUCACAGAAUCACAGAAUCACAGAAUUUCUAGGUUGGAAGAGACCUCAAGAUCAUCGAGUCCAACCUCUGACCUAACGCUAACAGUCCCCACUAAAC